GACAGAGGGUGCAAACGUUGUUCGGAAUUACUGGGCGUAAAGCGCGUGUAGGCGGUUUUGUAAGUCGGGUGUGAAAGCCCUGGGCUCAACCCAGGAAGUGCACUCGAAACUGCAAGGCUAGAGUAUCGGAGAGGUUGGUGGAAUUCUCGGUGUAGAGGUGAAAUUCGUAGAUAUCGAGAGGAACACCGGUGGCGAAGGCGGCCAACUGGACGAAUACUGACGCUGAGACUCGAAAGCGUGGGGAGCAAACAGG
This 253-nucleotide ribosomal RNA is filed under the name uncultured bacterium. RNAcentral describes it as "partial 16S ribosomal RNA". It matches the Rfam family "Bacterial small subunit ribosomal RNA", at positions 524 to 776 of the family's 1533-position model. The record is from RNAcentral.